RNAcentral lists this ribosomal RNA (404 nucleotides) under Fusobacteriota bacterium. RNAcentral's name for it is "Fusobacteria bacterium partial 16S ribosomal RNA". It matches the Rfam family "Bacterial small subunit ribosomal RNA", at positions 355 to 776 of the family's 1533-position model. The record is from RNAcentral. Lineage: Bacteria; Fusobacteriati; Fusobacteriota.
UGGGGAAUAUUGCACAAUGGAGGGAACUCUGAUGCAGCGACGCCGCGUGAGUGAUGAAGGACUUCGUUUCGUAAAACUCUGUUCUAUGGGAAGAAAAGUACUGUACCAUAGGAGAAAGCUCCGGCUAAAUACGUGCCAGCAGCCGCGGUAAUACGUAUGGAGCGAGCGUUGUCCGGAAUUAUUGGGCGUAAAGGGUGCGCAGGCGGCUUUACAAGUUGGAUGUGAAAUAUUGUGGCUCAACCACAAACGUGCAUCCAAAACUGCAAAGCUUGAGUUAAGGAGAGGUAAGUGGAAUUCCUGGUGUAGCGGUGGAAUGCGUAGAUAUCAGGAGGAAUACCGGUGGCGAAGGCGACUUACUGGACUUAAACUGACGCUCAGGCACGAAAGCGUGGGGAGCAAACAGG